This is a small nuclear RNA of Perognathus longimembris pacificus (Pacific pocket mouse), 103 nucleotides long. NCBI's taxonomy places the organism in Eukaryota, Metazoa, Chordata, Mammalia, Rodentia, Heteromyidae. The record is from RefSeq and is a predicted model, not a curated record.
UUGCUCUGGCAGCACAUACACUAAAAUUGGAACGAUACAGAGAGGAUUAGCAUGGCCCCUGCCCAAGGACAACACAUAAAUUUGUGAAGCGUUCUGUGUUUUU